Molecule: ribosomal RNA, 95 nt
Filed under: Proteus mirabilis
Lineage: Bacteria; Pseudomonadati; Pseudomonadota; Gammaproteobacteria; Enterobacterales; Morganellaceae
Source: RNAcentral
GUCCCACCUGAUCCCAUGCCGAACUCAGAAGUGAAACGCCGUAGCGCCGAUGGUAGUGUGGGGUCUCCCCAUGUGAGAGUAGGGAACUGCCAAGC